RNAcentral lists this ribosomal RNA (264 nucleotides) under uncultured Oscillospiraceae bacterium. RNAcentral describes it as "partial 16S ribosomal RNA". It matches the Rfam family "Bacterial small subunit ribosomal RNA", at positions 76 to 339 of the family's 1533-position model. The record is from RNAcentral. Lineage: Bacteria; Bacillati; Bacillota; Clostridia; Eubacteriales; Oscillospiraceae.
UUGCUUCCGAUAGGCGUCGACCGGCGCACGGGUGAGUAACGCGUGAGCAACCUGCCUUUCAGAGGGGGACAACAGUUGGAAACGACUGCUAAUACCGCAUAAGCGCACAGCUUCGCAUGGCCCUGAUGUCAAAGAUUUAUCGCUGAAAGAUGGCCUCGCGUCUGAUUAGCUAGUUGGUGAGGUAACGGCCCACCAAGGCGACGAUCAGUAGCCGGACUGAGAGGUUGAACGGCCACAUUGGGACUGAGAUACGGCCCAGACUCC